UACUCUUUCUCCUCCUCCUAAUGGAAAGGACAGCCGUGGUAUGCCGCCAGUCAAACUGGUGCAGUUCUGGAGAAACACUCAGCUUCGUGAGCAGUAAGACCCGCUGCCUCCUCAGUGCUACUGCUUUUAUUGAAAACUUGAGGGCACCGUGGCAUUUGCUUUAGAUGCGUGAUGGUGGAUGAAGGCACUAUAGCGCUGAUCAAACCUCAGGAGCCGACCCUCUGCAAGCAUUCUUUUCCUCAUUUGGACUUGGAGGAAGCAGCUCCUUUUGGAUCCCAAAGCAUGCAAGUUUUGCUACAAGAGGCCUCUCUGUUCUUUAAAGAAUGAAUAUACUUUCAGUGUUUGGUCACUUCUAGACCCAGCAGAAGUAUUUAAGGGAAAUGCAGGCCCAAAUUCCUGCUUUAUUCCUCCAAUUUUUCUUUUGUCUUUUCUUCUAGAUUUUGGCAUGUUCUGUCUUGUUAGCUCUUCAGUUUCUUCUAAUCAGUUUCUUUAUUGGGGGCUGGAGAGAAGGCUCAGCGGUUAAGAGCACAACAGUGUGCUCACAUACAUGAAAUAAAUCUUUUUAAAAAGAAAAAAAAAAAGAAAAGAAAAAGUACACCGUAGCUCUCUUCAGACACACCAAAAAAGGGCAUCAAACCCCAUUACAGAUGGUUGUGAGCCACCAUGUGGUUGCUGGGAAUUGAACUUAGGACCUCAGGAAGAGCAGUCAGUCCUCUUAACCGCUGAGCCACCCCUCCAGCCGUAAUCAAUUUCUUGAAGUUCUACUUUUCUAAGUGUGCUCAGCAGGACAGGAUGGGAUGUCCAUUAACGGAAUGCACAACCAAGCCCAUUUUUGUAUUUGUUCUUCUUUACACAUCUAUAUUGUGGUCUAUCAAAAAGGGAACGAGGGUAGUCGGGCAGGACAGUGCACACCUGGUAUCCUAGCAAGCAGCAACUUCUAAUGGGAAUCUUAAUUUCAAGGCUAGCCUGGGCUACAGAAUGAGAUUGUGUCAGAAGGAAGAAUAAAAGGAGAGAAAUGGAGAGAAAGAAAAGGGUAGAAAGGAAGAUGAAAAGAGACAAGGGGGGAGGAAAAAGGAGUUACCCUGGGGUUUAGCUCAGUAGUAGAGAGCACAGACUUUGAUGCUCAGCCCUUCACCCCAACCCACCCCCCCCCAAAAAAAGAAGAAAAAGAGGAAGAAACAAUAAGCUAUCAAUAAGAGCAUUUCCUGGGCUACUGUGUGAUGUGACCUGGGUUUGCCAGCUAGAGGAUGAAAAGGAACUUGGUAAGUAAGCACCCAUGAAGGCACUAAGGGAAAUAGCAUGUGCAGGAGACUGCUUGAACCGCCUGUGCCCAUUUCUGUGCUCAUGGAGAGAAAGGAAGGUGGACGAGGAAAAAGGCAGAGGAAAGCAUAUCAAAGAUAGGGUGGAAAAUAAGCAAACAAACCCUAAACUAUGUUCUUGUACAAAGCCUUGCCUGAAAACCAGUACCACCCCUGGGACUUUGCAGGAAAUUUCCUUAUUCCCUAGGCUGAAAAGAGACCUGGAACACAAGAGAGCAAGAGAAUGAAUGCAAAGAACCUAUCAGAUAAAGGUUAUGAGAAGAUGCGUGGCAGGGAAAUGGACAGGAAAGACCAGCACCUGAAUAAAACAAGAAGCACAAGAAAGAGAAUGACCUAGGUUUCCCUUUUCGUGGUAAACACAAUGAAACUGAGAUACUUACAGAACACCAGCCACACACUUGGGAACUUAGCAGGUUACUGGUUGUGUACUAGUACAGUCCCACAGAGAUGCUAGGGAGUUUUUCUAUAAGCCAAGUUAUUAGCAAAGUAAUCCAAGCAAGCCAAGUUCAGUCUCCUCAUCCUGCAAGAGAGGAGAGGAAAUCUCUGAGAGAAGUCCUCUGAUCACUAUACAUGUGCUGUAUGCAUGUGCGUGAGCAUGUACCACACACACACACACACACACACACACACACACACACACACACACAAACACACACACACUUGCUCAAAAAGUAUGGUGGUUUGAAUAACAAUGGCCCCUGGAAUCAUGUGUUUAAAUGCAUAGCCAAUAGGAAGUGGCACUAUUAGGAGGCAUGGCCUUGUUGGAGUAGAUGUGGCUUUGUUGGAGAAGUGCUGUCACUGUGGGGACAGGCUUUGAGGUCUCCCAUGCUCAAGCCACAGCCCAGUGUGGCACACAGUCUCUUCCUGCUGCCUUCAGAUUAAGAUCUAGAACUCUCAGGCCUAGAGAGAUGGCUCAAUGGUUAAGAGCACUGACUGUUCUUCCAGAGGUUCUGGGUUCAAUUCCCAGCAAUCACAUGGUAACUUACAACCAUCUGUAAUGAGGUCUGAUGCCCUCCUCUGGUGUGUCUGAAGAGAGCAAUAGUGUACUCAUACAUAAAAUAAAUAAAUCUUUAAAAAAAAUCUAGAACUCUCAGCACCUUCUCUAGCCUAUAUCUGCCUGUAUCAUGCCAUGUUUCUCACCAUUAUGAUAAUGAACUAAACUUCUGAAACUGUAAGCCAGCCCCAAUUAAAUGUUCUCCUUUAUAAGAAUUGUCAUAGUCAUAAUGUCUCUGAACAGCAAUAAAAACCUAAGACAAAAAGUAACCAGCAAAAUUAUUCCAAUAAAAUGGCUAAAGGAUGGGGCUGGUGAGAUGGCUUAGUGGUUA
This is a long non-coding RNA of Mus musculus (house mouse), 2644 nucleotides long. RefSeq annotates it as predicted gene 42437. The record is from RefSeq and is a predicted model, not a curated record. The transcript has 3 exons. NCBI's taxonomy places the organism in Eukaryota, Metazoa, Chordata, Mammalia, Rodentia, Muridae.